This 460-nucleotide ribosomal RNA is filed under the name uncultured bacterium. RNAcentral's name for it is "partial 16S ribosomal RNA". It matches the Rfam family "Bacterial small subunit ribosomal RNA", at positions 338 to 795 of the family's 1533-position model. The record is from RNAcentral.
CCUACGGGAGGCAGCAGCGAGGAAUAUUGGUCAAUGGGCGCGAGCCUGAACCAGCCAAGUAGCGUGAAGGAUGACUGCCCUAUGGGUUGUAAACUUCUUUUAUAAAGGAAUAAAGUGAGGCACGUGUGCCUUGUUGUAUGUACUUUAUGAAUAAGGAUCGGCUAACUCCGUGCCAGCAGCCGCGGUAAUACGGAGGAUCCGAGCGUUAUCCGGAUUUAUUGGGUUUAAAGGGAGCGUAGACGGGUAGUUAAGUGAGUUGUGAAAGUUUGCGGCUCAACCGUAAAAUUGCAUUUGAUACUGGCAGUCUUGAGUACAGUUGAGGUAGGCGGAAUUCGUGGUGUAGCGGUGAAAUGCUUAGAUAUCACGAAGAACACCGAUUGCGAAGGCAGCUUACUAAACUGCCACUGACGUUGAGGCUCGAAAGUGUGGGUAUCAAACAGGAUUAGAUACCCCAGUAGUC